RNAcentral lists this long non-coding RNA (454 nucleotides) under Mytilus galloprovincialis (Mediterranean mussel). Lineage: Eukaryota; Metazoa; Mollusca; Bivalvia; Mytilida; Mytilidae. The record is from RNAcentral.
UGACGAAUUAGAAUAUAAAUGUAUUUAUUAAAGUUGAGCAUACACGUGUUUUCUAUUAUGUAAACAAUCACACGUGAUUGUGUGUCCGCAUAGUGGUCAUCUAUUGGUGUUCAUAUUGGAUAAACAGGUUUGUGUUUUUAAAUAUAUGAUAUUUCGGAUUGGUCAAUAUUUGUCGCAUUGCGUAAAUAUAUUGAGUAUGAUAUUUGUUAUGUAAAUAGCACGGGAUUUUUAAAGCGCGAAUAGUUGUCUUGUUUAAGUGAUUUAAGAUAUAUGGUCAUUCGAAGCUCGUAUACCGUUCAGUAAGGCAGCUUAGUCUAGGUAAAGACCCCCCCCACCACACCCGGAUUAAGAUGCUUGUAUAUUUGAAAUGUUUUCACGCAUAGAUAGAUAGUUAUUUCUACUAUCAGUAGGACAUUAUUAAUAUUUAUAUGUAUAUAAGGUUUCUGAUUUUGUU